This is a long non-coding RNA of Prinia subflava (tawny-flanked prinia), 2256 nucleotides long. RefSeq lists it as uncharacterized. The transcript has 2 exons. The record is from RefSeq and is a predicted model, not a curated record. NCBI's taxonomy places the organism in Eukaryota, Metazoa, Chordata, Aves, Passeriformes, Cisticolidae.
UUUACAAGUUAAAUAAAACUUGAUCAGUGCUCUCAUUCCCUCACACUCAGCACAAAGCCUUUUUUGUAAGGCUUUUUAUUGUAACUUUUUUCCAAACCUUGAAAAAAUAAAAUUCCAGGCUUUGACCAAAGAAUUCAUAAGGCAAAUAGGCAGUUAAAAGGAGUAGAGUUUUUACCUUAUCUAAAAGCCUGUAGGCUUUAAAAAUUCAUUAGAAAUGCUUGAGCAUUCAAAUUUACACUUAGUUUUUUUAAUUCAUGACAAGUAAAGGUCUAUCAAAUAUUGACUUUGUCCAGUUCUACCUUAACACAGCGGAAAGAACAGAGAUAUUGAGCCCCACCUGUAAAAGACAAGGCACAUUCAAGACCGAGCCCACUCCACUACCACACAAACUACUUACUGCUCCCUGAAGGCCAAGAGCCUGGCGCCCUCAAAAGACAAUCAAGAUAACUGUGCCAACUCUCUACAGCCCAGAGAGGAACUGUAUGGUCUUUGCCAAAAGUAUUUAGAUCAAUGUACUACCACACCACCCGGAGGCUGUGCUACCUUGUCCUUAGUAUUGCUACACCCCUGGGCAGGGCAGCUACAACCGUGACACGGACAUCCAACACCACAAGCACUGAGACUGUGUGAUAAGUGCAUAAGCAAAAAUGACUUCCAUAGGGAACAUGGCACCCAUCAGCAGAGAGGUCCAACAGUGCCAUGACAGUGCAGGUGCUCUACAGCAGCCCUGCAAAGUGGUGACUGCUGCAGCCAUCAGAGGAGACGUGGAUGAGAGCCAUCAAAAGAAUGAUGGAUGAGCAAGAAGCCAAGCUUUAAGACAAAAGACUGUUAUUUACCUGGGGAUGCAAUCCCCAGAGACAACUCUGUCAAAAGAGAACUCACAGAAGUGGAACUGAAGGCACCACCUGGCUCACCAAUGUGAGAGAUCACCGCUCAGAAACAAUUACAAUAUGACAGACACCAGACAGAUCCACACCUUAAGCUAGAAUUGGAAGACAAGAAAGGCUUGACAAAGUGCUAUGCUGAUGUGGCAAUGUACCUGCGACUCACGGGAGGGCUACCAAGGUGCCUGGUGAUCACUUAGAACUAUGGAGACACCAGGACCCGAGGAAGGUAGAGUGUACAAUGCAGAAGACAGACUUAACAGAGUUUACACAACACAGACACAUGCUGGAACUGCCUUCCUAGGCACAGUCCUCACAUUGUGCUGAGAACUAAUGUGCUCCCUUGACCUGCUCCUGAAUGGCUCUCUCCCGUACACUGACUUUAAACUCCUCCUUGUAAUUCCCAACCUUGCCUCCUAUCCUCUCAGCAUCCUUCCUUCCCCUUCACUUCAGAGGAAUGGGGUUCUGAAGCCAUCUUCCUUGCUAUUUGCCAGCAAGCCCAGGCAGGCGAGCCUCAGUAUUACUGCCCUGCUCUAGGGCACGCCCGCUGCUGGAUGCAUGUCCCAUGCACCUGGGGCCGAGUGCACGCACGCACUGCCCGUGGUUGCAACAGCACCGUGGCCCUCAUGACCAGGCAAAGGCCUCCUCGUAACCUCUGCACUGAGACCCCUUGGUGCGAUCUGAGCUCCCCUGCCGUGCCACCUUCAGUGAUCAGGAGUCAUCCACACCUACCGAAGCGUCCCACUUGCCUCACCCAUGUCCUCUGGCCCUUGGCAUCUGCUCAAAGGGGAGAUGCACCCCGCGCCAUCAUGAUGCCCCUGUGACCGAGAAACGGGUGCAACAGCACCAGAUCCUGAGCAUGGUGCGUCCGCCACCCAUGCCAGGACAGCAGUGAAGAGCGGCAGGCAGGAAAGGAAAUGGCGCCCUGAUGGGGCAGUAGCACACCGGGACGCCCCGGCAGCACCAAACUGAGCAGGAUGACCUGCAGCCGGUGGGGAGCUCUGGCCGCCAGCCGUGCGGCAGGGCUGCAGGGCACCACGGGAAGUGUUCGUGCAGGUGGAGAGCUUCAUUCUGGACAAGCCAUCAUUGAAGUGCUGUCGGAGUAAGUUUUAUAUUAAACCACAGAAAUAAAAGCUUUUGAUACAAAUAAGUAACAAAAUUAAUGUAGCAGACAAUUAUUUAUCUACAAUAGUCAACAAUACAAAGAAUUAGAUAUAAAAGGUUUUUUGGUCAAAAGCUUAUUAUACAUUUGGAACAUCUGUCCCCCUAUCUCAAGACUGAUCAAAUACAAAGAAAUUAGGCAUAAAGCUUUCUGGCUCUCAAGAGAUGCCAUGAUCCUAAGACUGAAAAAAAAAACCCCUCAAAACCAAAA